GCGCCCAUAGCUCAGCUGGAUAGAGCAACGGCCUUCUAAGCCGUAGGUCGCAGGUUCGACUCCUGCUGGGCGCG
RNAcentral lists this transfer RNA (74 nucleotides) under Myxococcales bacterium. Its description in RNAcentral is "tRNA-Arg". It matches the Rfam family "tRNA". Rfam says of the family: Transfer RNA (tRNA) molecules are approximately 80 nucleotides in length. Their secondary structure includes four short double-helical elements and three loops (D, anti-codon, and T loops). The record is from RNAcentral. Lineage: Bacteria; Pseudomonadati; Myxococcota; Myxococcia; Myxococcales.